This 426-nucleotide ribosomal RNA is filed under the name uncultured bacterium. Its description in RNAcentral is "bacterial SSU rRNA". It matches the Rfam family "Bacterial small subunit ribosomal RNA", at positions 354 to 796 of the family's 1533-position model. The record is from RNAcentral.
GUGGGGAAUCUUGCGCAAUGGGCGAAAGCCUGACGCAGCAACGCCGCGUGGGGGAUGAAGGCUCUCGGGUUGUAAACCCCUUUCAGGAGGGACGAAAAUGACGGUACCUCCAGAAGAAGCCCCGGCCAACUACGUGCCAGCAGCCGCGGUAACACGUAGGGGGCGAGCGUUGUCCGGAUUUAUUGGGCGUAAAGAGCUCGUAGGCGGUUUGGCAAGUCGGGUGUGAAAUUUCGAGGCUCAACCUCGAAACGCCACUCGAUACUGCCAUGACUGGAGUCCGGUAGAGGAGUGCGGAAUUCCUGGUGUAGCGGUGAAAUGCGCAGAUAUCAGGAGGAACACCAACGGCGAAGGCAGCACUCUGGGCCGGUACUGACGCUGAGGAGCGAAAGCGUGGGGAGCAAACAGGAUUAGAAACCCCGGUAGUCC